Molecule: long non-coding RNA, 676 nt
Filed under: Actinidia chinensis (golden kiwifruit)
Lineage: Eukaryota; Viridiplantae; Streptophyta; Magnoliopsida; Ericales; Actinidiaceae
Description: long non-coding RNA (ACHI_LNC002555)
Source: RNAcentral
GAGAGUGACAAUUGGAGCCAUACUAAUAGUGGAGCGGUAACCUUACACUGUAACAAAACGAGUAGCCAUUUCGUUGGGCGCGCAAGUACGGGGCGCUAGGAGCAACAACAAGAAACUCACUCCGAAGGACAACCGAAUGACGGCCUUCUUUCGCAUGACACUUGACUCCCUGGGGUUAAGGGCAUUUAGAGGUCUUCGAAGGAAGGGUAGGAAGACAGAGCAGCAGCCCAUAGGGAACAAGGCUAGGGAAGUCACCUUAAUAGGGCCCAAGUCGACCUCGAUCCCAGACAAGAAUGCCUAGAGAGGCCCAGACGAGCUGUGAGAAAUCCCGAGCCUCCCCUCCAUCCUGGGAGACAUUACCUUCUUCCAUCUCAUCCUCUUAAUCUUAAAAACUCGGCGAGUGGCCGUCGCAAAAAGCCCCUCAUCCUACAGAUCAAUCUCCAUCUGCUCUUUCAACAUUUGCUAUUCCUCAUGAAAUAGCGAUAAGAGGGAGAAGACCCCUUCCUCUGAGGGAAAAUACCUUUUCUUUCAGGUUAUUGAUUGACCUUAAUUUUUUGAGCCGGUGGCCCUGCCCUGAUUCAAUCUCGAUUGCAACAUCCAAUUUUCCCUUUUUCUUCCUUAUCGUCGAGAUUUUCUAGAGUAAAGAUUUCUCACUCUCCAUCCUCUUAGUCAUCUU